GACGAACGCUGGCGGCGUGCCUAAUACAUGCAAGUAGAACGCACAGUUUAUACCGUAGCUUGCUACACCAUAGACUGUGAGUUGCGAACGGGUGAGUAACGCGUAGGUAACCUGCCUGGUAGCGGGGGAUAACUAUUGGAAACGAUAGCUAAUACCGCAUAAUAUUAAUUAUUGCAUGAUAAUUGAUUGAAAGAUGCAACUGCAUCACUACCAGAUGGACCUGCGUUGUAUUAGCUAGUAGGUGAGGUAACGGCUCACCUAGGCGACGAUACAUAGCCGACCUCAGAGGGUGAUCGGCAUCAAGGGGACUGGGACAGGGCCCAGGCUUCUCCAGGAGGCAGCAGAAGGGAAUCUUCGGCAAAGGACGAAAGGCUGAACGAGCGAAGCCGCGUGAGUGACGAAGGGUCUCGGGUCGUAAAGCUCCGUUGUAAGUGGAGAACGGGUGUGAGAGUGGAAAGUUCACACUGUGACGGUAUCUGACCAGAAAGGGACGGCUAACUACGUG
RNAcentral lists this ribosomal RNA (505 nucleotides) under uncultured bacterium. RNAcentral's name for it is "partial 16S ribosomal RNA". It matches the Rfam family "Bacterial small subunit ribosomal RNA", at positions 28 to 507 of the family's 1533-position model. The record is from RNAcentral.